GUGGGGAAUCUUCCGCAAUGGACGAAAGUCUGACGGAGCAACGCCGCGUGAGUGAUGAAGGUCUUCGGAUUGUAAAGCUCUGUUAAUCGGGACGAAAGAGCCUAGUGUGAAUAAUGCUAGGAAGUGACGGUACCGGAAUAGAAAGCCACGACUAACUACGUGCCAGCAGCCGCGGUAAUCCGUAGGUGGCAAGCGUUGUCCGGAAUUAUUGGGCGUAAAGCGCGCGCAGGCGGAUCUGCCAGUCAGUCUUAAAAGUUCGGGGCUUAACCCCGUGAUGGGAUGGAAACUACAGAUCUAGAGUAUCGGAGAGGAAAGUGGAAUUCCUAGUGUAGCGGUGAAAUGCGUAGAUAUUAGGAAGAACACCAGUGGCGAAGGCGACUUUCUGGACGAAAACUGACGCUGAGGCGCGAAAGCCAGGGGAGCGAACGGGAUUAGAAACCCGGGUAGUCC
RNAcentral lists this ribosomal RNA (450 nucleotides) under uncultured bacterium. RNAcentral describes it as "partial 16S ribosomal RNA". It matches the Rfam family "Bacterial small subunit ribosomal RNA", at positions 354 to 796 of the family's 1533-position model. The record is from RNAcentral.